GCUAAAUGAUGAUGGUGAUAAAGUUGGC
RNAcentral lists this non-coding RNA (28 nucleotides) under Bombyx mori (domestic silkworm). The record is from RNAcentral. Lineage: Eukaryota; Metazoa; Arthropoda; Insecta; Lepidoptera; Bombycidae.